GUUCACCAUACUUUGGGCAAAAUCAAACUUUAAAUAUUUUCUUUAAUAUAUUAAAUUUGAAUUCUUGAAUCAUCGAUUAGAUUUUGAAUUUUAGUUUAUAAUUUAUGUUUGUCAAAUUUAAUAUUAAAAUUUUUUGAAUACUUAAAUAUUCAAAAAUUUUAUGUCUUAUAUUCAGUGUUUUCUUCCCAACAUCUUAUAUUGAGUGUUAUUCAUGGCCAGAGGCGAACUCAGAAUUUGAAAUUUGUGGAUGUAUCAGUGUUGUCAAAGACGCACAUAAGCCUUGAAGCAAGACUCAAAAUGUGUUGAGCGCUCGCCUCACUUAAUAUGCAGCUUAGAUUAUAAUUUUUGAUACAUACUUUCCUUUGUCAAUGAGGUUUUCUGAAGAGACGAACAAUAAACAAUUGAUAUUUCACUUUAUCAAAAAAAAAAUUGUUCAUAUAUUUGUCAUUUAUGCUUAUAUUAUUAGUCUUAGACUAAACAUAUAUUUAUUUCUUUUCUACCUUUAUGCUUUUUUUCUUUGAAUCUCACACUUUAUUUGUACUUUAUGCCUAAACACAAUAGACCUUGAGGCUUUUUUGUGCUUAUUACUUUUGAUAAUAUUAUGGAGCACCAAUAUUAUCUUAAGACGUUAGAAAAACUUUCGAUGUCGAUUAAGGGAUAUUAUAUAUUCAAUUGGUCGCCAAAGACAUGAACAUUACUGAAAAAAUAAAUAUAUAGAAUAAAUAAGAGUUUUAAGCUAAUAACUUUACUUUCUAAUAUGAAUUUUACUUUUAAUAUCUUUGAACAAUUAAUUGUGGUAACUAAAUGGUCAAGAAGGAUUUACCUUUUGUACUGGUCGUUGGUUUGAAUCCCCAAUCCUGUAAUUUUUUGUUGUUUAAGUUUAGUACCUUUUAAAGGUGAAGCAUUGAAAAUAAAAACUAAGGCAUUGUGCAAUCCACGGAUCAAUCUCUGAUCGCAUAAACGGAAGGGGAGGUUUCAACCAACCCGUACUAUUUAUUAUAUUUCAAUUUCUUAAAAUAUAUAUGUGUAUAUAUAUUUAAUUUUUUUCGAUGUUAAUAGAUGCACGUGCGCC
RNAcentral lists this long non-coding RNA (1072 nucleotides) under Capsicum annuum. Its description in RNAcentral is "long non-coding RNA (CANN_LNC022032)". Lineage: Eukaryota; Viridiplantae; Streptophyta; Magnoliopsida; Solanales; Solanaceae. The record is from RNAcentral.